UCUUGUAUUGCAAUGUUCUUGUCUCUGUCAAUCACUAUUAUGUUGUUUUGCUGUUUCUCAAGUCCCAGUGUCCUCUCUCUUUUGGACAUUAAUUCUUUCUCCUGCAGUCUGUAGCUGUAGUGUAUUCCUUCUGUUUGGUACAGCUUGACACAAAAUUCAUUCAUUACAACUCUAACGAGAUGAGGAAAAACACAUUGAGGAUUUUCACCCAAGUAGUUUACAAGCAUCUAUGUUUCACCAUAUAAUCAUACGGUUUUAACUUAGUUUUUACCUAGGAGACUCAAAGUUUAAUUCCCAGCAAUGAAAAUCGGCUUAUUUCCUGAUAUAUUUUUUUCUUAUGAAAUUCAUCAAAGGAAUAUUGCUUAUCAAAAUGUAUUUUUUUUUUAAAAAAAAAAGACAAAGUUUUCAUUUUACUUUUAGAUAUGUCAUUUACUUCUGUUGCAUUAACAAAAUGCCCAUGUAGUUGUGGCGUUAGUUCUUAUUAUUUGUCAUUUGGUAGUGUAUAUUCAAAUUAUGAGCUCAGAACAAAGUGGGAAGAUAUCAUAGGACAUUUAUGUUAAUAUACUAGUAUGACUAGUAAAACAUUAGGUAAUAUGCCUACAGAGUGAUCUAUUUACAAUGUGCAGUUGCAAAUGUCAAUUAAC
Molecule: unclassified non-coding RNA, 644 nt
Filed under: Hevea brasiliensis (rubber tree)
Lineage: Eukaryota; Viridiplantae; Streptophyta; Magnoliopsida; Malpighiales; Euphorbiaceae
Source: RNAcentral